Cyprinus carpio carpio is the source of this 4898-nucleotide long non-coding RNA. The record is from Ensembl. NCBI's taxonomy places the organism in Eukaryota, Metazoa, Chordata, Actinopteri, Cypriniformes, Cyprinidae.
AUGUGUUUUUAUUUUGCCGAUAACUGUCUGUGCUGUUUAGCUUGUUGUGUUUUAUGGGAAAUAACAGUAGACAUUAUGAGGUGGAGGUGGUGUCAUCCUGAUCUUGACUUGUACACCGUACCUUUAAGUGGCUUAACCAAAGUGACUUACAUUUACAUUACAUUUACAUUUAGUCAUUUAGCAGACGCUUUUAUCCAAAGCGACUUACAAAUGAGUUAGUCAUGUUAGCACUCGGCUAACGUAUCCACCUAGUGUUCACAGUUUAGCAGCUAAACUUUAGCUGUGGGCACGAUUCGCUUGCAUAAGUGUUUUUGUAUUUUAUGUCAUUAUAAGAACGGAUUGACUAUAUUAUUGUUUUAUGUAAAGGUGCUUUGUCAACGGUAGCGCUGGCUAACUGGCUCAAGGACUCAUCUCUGUGCCAAUCACAAAAGGUUUGGCCAGCUGACCAAUCAGAGCAGAGUAGGCUUGAGGAAGGGAGGGGCUUGCUCCGAACUUGCUUGAAACUAAUCAUUUCCUAAUCAUUGGCAAAUGACUCUAAUAUUAAAUGUAUAUUCUGAGAAAAUUACAAUGUUUUCUGACCUUAGAUGCAUUUAAACCUGAUGUAGGGGACUCCAAUACAAUAUUGGGACACUUUAAAAUACCAUAAUGCCUGCUCUUUAAAUUGCAUGAUAAAAAAAUCUAAAAUAUUUUCUGAUAAAAUCUUACUAAACAAGUCUCUAGUAUUGUGUUCAGUUAACAUUAUCCUUCAACAUUUUUAAGUUAAAAAAUGUUCGAUUCAUUUUGUAUUGUUACAGUGUUGGUUCCAUUUGUAAAAGAACAAUGUUUAUUCUUUCUCCAAGAUACCGUUUAUUUGCCAGCAAAACUGAUGCAAAACAGCAUUUUUUUCAUUUGGAUGCUGCAUUGUCAUUUUGUCAAAACUCUUCAUUUCAUUUUGCAUCAUCCUACAGAGUGCUGCUUACAAAUAAAAGGGGACAUGUAGGUACACAUAACUCAGAGAAAGAGUAAAUAUUGUUAAUUUACAGAUAUUAGAGAUGUUGUAAUAAUACAAAGAGGGUUGAAAAUCAUCACAUUUACCCUUAUAAGCAAUAUAAGGAUAAUAUUUGUUUUGUGUGUCCAAUGUUUUGUGUGUCCAUGUACAGUUGCUGUCAUCUGUAGUCUUUGUGAGCACUGGCAUCAUCUGAAGUCUUCACAAGUGAAUUUGGAUUCAGUCUGGAGCUGGUGUAAUCUAGUAACCUUGAGAUGGGCAUCCUGACAUAGAAACAGGAAAUCAAAAGAAGAAAGUUUAGCAUAGCUGCUGCUGUUCAUAUUAUUUCAGACAAAAGAUGACUUAUUCCAUGACAUAUAACUGGAGUGCAUGGUUAUUAGAUGUGUUGUGUGAAUGCUAAAAUAUUUAUUUUAAUCUAAUUUAAACUAAAAGAGUGUGUCCGAGCCCCAAUUAUUAUUAGGAAGGCUAUUUCAAAGUAAAAUACCAAAAAGUUCUACUUCCUUUAGUGGACUUUGAUCCUUGUUAUUAGAAUUUUGUGACCUCACUACAGGCCAAGCACCAUAGUUGCUGCUGCCCCCAUUAAUGCUUAUUUUGCUAUAUAUAUCUGAUUUAAUGACAAGUAGGUUUAAUAAACGCACAUCCAAAAACUUUAGGCAGGUGCUCAAUCACAUGAUACACUUCACCAAUCAAUAAACAAAAAUCGACACACUGCCACUAAUGCUCUCAAAAAUCAAUUUAUUGAUGAAGUGUUUCAUGUGAUCCCUUAGUAAAUGUAUUAUUUGUGGAACAGGCAGUCUCUUUAGAAUGGAAUACACAUGCCACAGUACCAUUUAAGUAGGUGGAACAUCAUAUUUGUAAUUUACACUACCGUUAAAGGUUUGGGGUUAGUAAGAUUUUUUACGUCUUUGAGAGAAGUCUCUUCUGCUCACCAAGGCUGCAUUUAUUUGAUCAAAAUGAAGUAAAAACAGUAAUAUUGUGAAAUAUUAUUACAAUUUAACACAACAGUUUUCUAUGUGAAUAUUUUGUGAAUAUCUCAUUUUUAUUUCUCCAGUCUUCAGUGUCACAUGAUCCUUCAGAAAUCAUACUGAUCUGCUGCUCAAGAAACAUUUUUGAUUAUUAUCAAUGUCUUAUCAAUUAUCAAAAGUUAGAACAAACAUUUCUGUUUCAAAUAAACACUGUACUGUUUUAAAACUUUAUUCAUCAAAGAAUCUUGAAAAAAAUGAAGCAGCACAGCUGUUUUCAACUGAUAAUAAUCAGAAAUGUUUCUUCAGAAGCAAAUCAGAAUAUAAGAAUGAUUUCUGAAGGAUCAUGUGACACUGAAGACUGGAGUAAUGAUGCUGAAAAUCCAGCUUUACCAUCACAGGAAUAAAUUAGGGGAGAGUGGGGUAAAGUGAGACAUUUUUUACAUUAGCUCCCCUCUAACCGAGCUAAAAUGAUAUAUCAGUAAAAUUUACACAUUUCCCAUUAAUUCAGGGUUUUUCCUAGCAAUGGAAAUUAUUGGAAUUUAUUCAGGACGAAGGGGUAAACUGAGACAGACCAGAAAAAUCGAGGGGGUAAAGUGAACCAGCUCGGGGUAAACUGAUCCACUUACUUUUUCCACUCUGAAACUACCAUAACAACACAUUGUAACAGUUAGAAUCCUGACAACUAACUUGACAACCACACAUUCCAGAACUAAUGUCGGACUAGUAACAGAAUCAUGGGGAUUGGUCAAUUAACCCUCUGGAGUCUAAGGGUAUUUUUGGGGCCUGGAGAAGUUUUGUCAUGCCCUGACAUUUGUGCUUUUUUCAGUUUCUUAUAAAUAUCUAAAUGGCUAAAGUCUAAUCUCACUGUAAUCAGCACAAACUGGGCUAUAAUAAUAUGUGAGCAGCAUGUAUGUACAUGAUUGUGUUUUUGAGAAAAAAAAUGUUAUGCAUGGUUAGUGAAAAACUAAAAAUGUUAAAUCACUUGAAUAAGGCAAUAAAACACAUAUAGAAAAUUGGUUCCCAGGAAUUUUGAGAACUGGAGCUUGUAGCCUAGAAUUUUUUUUUUCUAAAUGAUGUGAAAAUCAUCUUGUUUACUCACUUACAGAAAACAAUAUAUUGAUUUAAAUUUUUCUAAAACACUUUUUUUGUUGGUAAAAAGUCAUAUGCGAGUAGGCGUCAACUAUCAUGAAUUCACACCUGAGAAGACAAAGGCCUGCAUAAUGAGCUGCAUAAUGAGCCAUUCAGUCAGCUGUGUCACUGAGAGGGAUGAGUUACAAGAAAGAAUGUGAGGACAAAAUAAAUGUAUAUAAUUUUAUGUUUGUAGUUUAUUUAGAAUAUAUUUAAUUAUCCCACAACAUAAUUUAAUAUUCACUUGUGAGUGCAGUUAAACAGUUUAUUAGGAAAAAUCAAAGCUGACUUUCAAACUGAAUUUUUUGCAUCAUUACUCCAGUCACACAAUCCUUCAGAAAUCCUUUCAACAAUCUUAUUUUCUACAAAAAAACAUUUAUUGUUAUUAUUAUCAUUAUUAUUAUUAUUAUUAUUAUUAUUAUUAUUAUUAUUAUUAUUAUUAUUAUUAUUAUUAUUAUUAAUGUUGAAAAGAGCUGAGAAUAUUUUUUUCAGGUUUUUUAGGGGGGAUAAAUUGAAAGAACAGCAAUGAUUGUUACAUUUGUUACAGUUACAUUUAUUGUUACAUUUAUAUUAUUUACAUCAAGCUUUUUGAAUGGUAUAGUAGUGUAUAUUGUUAUUGAAACUUCAUAAUAUUUCACUUGAUUAUACAUUUAGUCAGGAAUUAUAGUUUGGAAAAAGUCUUUGGAAAAAGUCCAACUAGUAAAAUGUUUACACGUUAUGUGAAAACUAGUACAAGUAUAUAAAUAAAUAAGAGACUUACUCAUGUUUAUGAUCUCUGCUGAAUAAAGUGCUUCAUUCUUUUUUCUGAGAAAAUACAAAUCUCAAAUCCUCAACCACAUCACAUCUUUUUGGGGUGAAUUAUGUCUUAUUCCUCUCAUCGCGAAGCAAACAGUAAAAUAAAAAAACUUGAAGAACAGUCUCGCUGCGUUGUCUUCUGUUGUGUGGGCGUAUUCAAAAGCCGCGCGCUUCAGUGAAACAUUUGAAUCUCAAAAGCGCGCUCGGCGCGGGGGCGUGGUCGCAUUAGAAGAUAAUGAAGGGAGACGUGAAAAACGGACAUCGCGUUGUUUUCAUAUGGAUUACUUUAUCACAGAAUAUUUGUUUUCAGCAGCACUUGUUUAGUUUAAAAGUAGACAUGUCAGGCUUUCUAUAGAUAUCUCUCUCGUGUCUCUUCGUUGAGUAUUCACGGAGUUACAGUUCAUUUUAAUGACGCAUUUGUAACUGAAGAUCAGCGCAGACAAAGGCUGCAGACAGCACUCCUUGUUUGUUAUCUUUAUUUUAUAAGUGCACAAAGUUUUGUUGUUAUUAUGUCUGUAUACAAAAAAAAGUACACCCUUUACAGAUUCGAUUGAUGUAUUGCUCUUAUCUGUACGAUCAAAACUGAAAGUGUAAUUUAAGUUCUUUUCGGGGUUAUCAGGAGAAAAUACCCCAAAACGCGUAUACGCGUUAAUCGACUCCAGAGGGUUAAGCACACUCUGAACAAAAUCAAAAAGAACAUUGGCUAAUAUAAUUCAAAAUGUUUUAAUUAACAUUCAAAUGACAGAUAGAACCAGUUAGAUUAGAACACAGUCUGGGGGUCAGAACACAGGACCCUUAGAGCCAGCUAGUGUCUGGGGGUCAGAGCAAAGGACAAUCAGACCCAGCUAGAACAGCCUGGGACUCAGAACACAGGACUAGACCCACCUGGAUUAGAACAUCAGCCUACUGUCAUACUUUACAACUAGGCUUACUCUACAUUCCAGCCCUGAAGGUUACAGGGAAAGAUGAGGAGUUGCUCUCUCCGUGUGGUUCCUCCAGGCCUUUUAGGUUGAGGCAGCUUCUUC